AGGGGCGGCUUUUUGGNACAGUACUGACGNUGAGGCGGCGAAAGCGUGGGGAAGCAAACAGGAUUAGAUANCCCUGNUAGUCCACGCCNGUAAACGAUGGAUACUAGGUGUAGGAGGUAUCGACCCCNUUCUGUGCCGGAGUUNNACACAAUAAGUAUCCCACCUGGGGAGUACGGCCGCAAGGUUGAAACUCAAAGGAAUUGACGGGGGCCCGCACAAGCAGUGGAGUAUGUGGUUUAAUUCGAAGCAACGCGAAGAACCUUACCAGGGCUUGACAUCCCUCUGACAGCUCUAGAGAUAGGGCUUCCCUUCGGGGCAGAGGAGACAGGUGGUGCAUGGUUGUCGUCAGCUCGUGUCGUGAGAUGUUGGGUUAAGUCCCGCAACGAGCGCAACCCUUGUCGUUAGUUGCCAGCACGUUAAGGUGGGCACUCUAGCGAGACUGCCGGCGACAAGUCGGAGGAAGGUGGGGACGACGUCAAAUCAUCAUGCCCCUUAUGUCCUGGGCUACACACGUACUACAAUGGCUGCUACAAAGGGAAGCGAUACCGCGAGGUGGAGCAAAUCCCCAAAAGCAGUCCCAGUUCGGAUUGCAGGCUGAAACUCGCCUGCAUGAAGUCGGAAUUGCUAGUAAUGGCAGGUCAGCAUACUGCCGUGAAUACGUUCCCGGGCCUUGUACACACCGCCCGUCACACCAUGAGAGUCUGCGACACCCGAAGUCAGUAGUCUAACCGCAAGGAGGGCGCUGCCGAAGGUGGGGCAGAUG
RNAcentral lists this ribosomal RNA (763 nucleotides) under Acetivibrio thermocellus. RNAcentral describes it as "bacterial SSU rRNA". It matches the Rfam family "Bacterial small subunit ribosomal RNA", at positions 717 to 1473 of the family's 1533-position model. The record is from RNAcentral. Lineage: Bacteria; Bacillati; Bacillota; Clostridia; Acetivibrionales; Acetivibrionaceae.